RNAcentral lists this ribosomal RNA (255 nucleotides) under uncultured bacterium. RNAcentral describes it as "partial 16S ribosomal RNA". It matches the Rfam family "Bacterial small subunit ribosomal RNA", at positions 524 to 776 of the family's 1533-position model. The record is from RNAcentral.
UACGGAGGGGGCUAGCGUUGUUCGGAAUUACUGGGCGUAAAGCGUGCGCAGGCGGUUUUGUAAGCCAGAUGUGAAAUCCCCGGGCUCAACCUGGGAACUGCAUCUGUGACUGUAUAGCUAGAGUACGGUAGAGGGGGAUGGAAUUCCGCGUGUAGCAGUGAAAUGCGUAGAUAUGCGGAGGAACACCGAUGGCGAAGGCAAUCCCCCUGGACCUGUACUGACGCUCAUGCACGAAAGCGUGGGGGAGCAAACAGG